This 1197-nucleotide small RNA is filed under the name Arabidopsis thaliana (thale cress). RNAcentral's name for it is "ncRNA (AT3G18362)". Lineage: Eukaryota; Viridiplantae; Streptophyta; Magnoliopsida; Brassicales; Brassicaceae. The record is from RNAcentral.
ACAUGGAUUUUGCCGAUUGAAACAUUUGAAUCGCAGUAAUCUAGAAGUCUGAACCAAUUAAACCGUACCACCAUCAAUACAUUUUGAAAUUUACAAUGGUUUCUUCUUCUUCUUUCAUUCCCCUUUAUGGAUCAACCCGACCGGAUUCACUUCUUUCAAUGAGUUUCUCUGAUUUCGUUUGUUAUUUCACUUGCAUCAUCCUUGAUUAGCUUUAUGUAUAUCGGAUUAGGAGUUAUAGAAGAAAUGGUCAUAUAAUUAAUCAUUCUUUUGCAGUACUUGGAGUUAUCAGAUUUUUGAUUAAUAGUUUUGUGGCAUAUGGUUCUCACUUCAUUGGUGAAUCGAUGGAUGUGCUUUAUUUGUAGGAUUACAAUGAAAUCGUCUGUUGCAUUUAGGCCUUCACAUAAUUGAUGCAACUUAAGACAUGUACAUUAGUACAUAGUCAGAUCACUUCAGGAGGUCUUCAUCUAGAGAGACCAUUGAAAGAGUGGCUCCUAGAGCUUUGGCCAAGAAAUUUUUAGAGCAUAUUUAGGAACUGAAGUGUGCAAGUUUUCUGAUUGCACCUGAAUUGUUUCAAUAUAGAAAUUAAUAUCGUCAGGUGUCCUGAUCUCGAGUUUGCUGAAAAGGUGAUAGCCGCAUUUGUUGAUGGGCUUUGGUACACCUGUUUUCAAUAAACUCGAAGACUGAACUGGCAAAAGCAUGUAUGUCGUUGCCUGCAAACAAAAGGCUCUGAGUUUGGAAGUGGCUUUGCAGAUAAUGAGCACAACAGAAAAUUCUUUCAAAGACACUGUUGUUCUGGUGGAAUACAUAGAGAAAUCUCAAAUGUUUGCUCUUGAGGAAACUGGUGACAAUUGGGAAGGAAAAUGCAUAGCAGAGAAACAAACUGAGCGUCUUGAACUCAAAUUAUCAAAUGCGGAAGCUAAUCAGAUUGAUGAGAAAAAGAAAAAAAAAGGUAGAAUAUAAGACAGAAUUCCUGUAGAUGUCUAUUUGGUAGACUCUGCAUCGAGAAAGAGACGUUAUGGCUGGUGAUUCUGAAAGGGAACUUGUCUUUGAAGAAGACAGGAACUAAAGAAUCAUUCUAGUAUCAUUCCCUGCUGCUACUGUAUGGAUCUCUUUUUUAUAUACAUUUAUUUGCACAGCUUUAAGCUAAACAACAAUCAAAGAGUGAACAUAAUAUGUGUUUAGCAUAGCUGUGGUUAU